RNAcentral lists this ribosomal RNA (252 nucleotides) under uncultured Actinomycetales bacterium. RNAcentral's name for it is "partial 16S ribosomal RNA". It matches the Rfam family "Bacterial small subunit ribosomal RNA", at positions 524 to 776 of the family's 1533-position model. The record is from RNAcentral. Lineage: Bacteria; Bacillati; Actinomycetota; Actinomycetes; Actinomycetales.
UACGUAGGGCGCAAGCGUUGUCCGGAAUUAUUGGGCGUAAAGAGCUCGUAGGCGGUCUGUCGCGUCUGCUGUGAAAUCCCGAGGCUCAACCUCGGGCUUGCAGUGGGUACGGGCAGACUAGAGUGCGGUAGGGGAGAAUGGAAUUCCUGGUGUAGCGGUGGAAUGCGCAGAUAUCAGGAGGAACACCGAUGGCGAAGGCAGUUCUCUGGCCGUAACUGACGCUGAGGAGCGAAAGCGUGGGGAGCGAACAGA